AUGUUGUUAGUUAACACUUCUAUUGUUCAUUCAUUUGGUCAUCAUGUGUCGUCUGACCUGACUGAUGCUCCUUGCAGAAUAGGCUCCACCCUGCCUUGUUUUUUUGUGUCCCUGUGGUGGCAUCACCUCCAGACAGAGCAGGUCGAGGAGCGCUACAGCCUGCAUCAGCAUGACUUCCUCCAGCAUCAACCCAAAUGGAUCCACCGUCUCAAUCUCUUUAUCCACCGUCUCUUACUUGGAAUGUUGAUUUUGGUCAUCUUUCUGACUGACACUUGUAUUACUUUCUUCCCAGGAGGGUUCUGCGUGUGUGGAAGGAGACUGCGGCAGCCAGGAGCAGUGAGAAGAGGGCAGGGAACCACUACCGGCACUGUUCAGGCUAAGGUGCUGUUGGCAUGGAGGAAAGCCACAUCCUGUGUCAAACCGUCACCGGCAGUGAGCAGGGCUCCGAGUCGCAUGGAUAAAGUGAGGCAGCGGUGGACUUUCAGGAGAUGGUGGGAACAGAGCGGUUGUGGAGGAGAGUACAGGUGUGGAGAAAACCAAAAGGCACCACCACUCUUCUUUGCAGUAUGUUCAGAUUGGGGACUAUGUACCGGCAGCAUCAGCAGAGCAAUAAGGUAGAUGGAUACUGCGUUCGGUCUGUUGUGUGGUGUUUGAUACAUUCUGAUCCUAUGUUAGUCUGUGUUUAAUAUUGUGUUUUUCAUGUCCUUAUUUAGGUGAUGCAAGAAACAGGACACUCAAUGUUGAGACUGGCCGCCCCCAGUUGGUAAGGGGAGGUAACAACACAGCCGCCAUGCUUAUCCUCAACACGGGGGCCCCUCCUGUACCCCCUGUUCACUCAUGACUGCACGGCCAGGCACAACUCCAACACCAUCAAGUUUGCCGAUGACACAACAGUGGUAGGCCUGAUCACUGACAAGGAUGAGAAAGCCUAUAGGGAGGUCAGAGACCUGACCGUGUGGUGCAAGGACAACAACUUCUCCCUCAAUGUGAUCAAGACAGAGGAGAUGAUUGUGGACAACAGGAAAAGGAGGACCAAGCAUGCCCCCAUUCUCAUCGACAGGGCUGUAGUGGUGCAGGUUGAGAGCUUCAAGUUCCUUGGCGUCCACAUCAACAACAAACUAACAUGGUCCAAGCACACCAAGACAGUCGUGAAGAGGGCACGACAAAACCUAUUCCCCCUCAGGAGACUGAAAAGAUUUGGCAUGGGUCUUCAGAUCCUCAAAAGGUUCUACAGCUGCACCAUCGAGAGCAUCCUGACGGGUUGCAUCACUGCCUGGUAUGGCAACUGCUCGGCCUCCGACCACAAGGCACAACAGAGGGUAGUGCGUACGGCCCAGUACAUCACCGGGCCAAGAUUCCUGCCACCAAGGACCUCUAUACCUGGCGGUGUCAGAGGAAGGCCGUAAAAAUUGUCAGACUCCAGCCACCCUAGUCAUGGACUGUUCUCUCUCAUAAGACUCCUAAUCAAAUGGCUACCUAUACUAUUUGCACCCCCCCCCCCCCCCCGCGCUGCUGCUACUGUCUGUUAUUUCUAUGCAUAGCCACUUUAACAACCCUACCUGCAUGUACAUAAUUGUUAAUUACCUCGACACCAGUUCCCCGCACAUUGCCUCUGUAUCGGUACCCCCUGUAUAUAGCCCCGCUAUUGUUAUUCACUGCUGCUCUUAAUUAUUUGUUUUUCUUAUCUCUUACUACUUAAUUUUUAUUUUUUAGGUAUUCUCUUAACCGCAUCGUUGGUUAAGGGCUUGUAAGUAAGCAUUUCACUGUAACCUGUUGUAUUUGGCGCAUGUGACAAAUACAAUUUGAUUUGAAACAAUACAUGCCAGCUCUUUUUCUUUUUUUGCACGCUGGAAUAUUGUGGUGAGGUUAUUGCUGUUUUACCAUGGUUAUUUCAAAUAUUAAAGGUCAACUUACCAAGACUUGUGUGAGAAAUUGUGUUCAGGUUACUUUAAAAUACAAUUAUUUAAUUGAAAAAUAGUGUUUUUGGAUGUUUCUUGGCUUUAAUGAUCUCCUCUUUCUAUGAUCCAUCUGUGAGCUUCUGAGUGUUGGGGUGAACUCCUGGCUGUUAUGUAACUCAGUGUUUUUUCUUCCCUGGCCUGCACAGCUGCAGCACAGAAGGGGAGAGAGGCUGAGCAGACAGAACUGGCCCUUUGGCAUUGGACCCUCAGUCUGCAGGCCAAGGUAACACCUGGACACAUACUUCACUGUCGGCUGGCCUUCAGCCUAACUAAAACAUGAAAUAUUAUCCCUGUCUCUGUUUGUCUGUAGUGGAGGACAUCUCUCCUGUAUGAUUACCAUUGCUGACCCUGUUAAUGUACAGCCUGGGUCCAGAUCUGUUUGUGCUGUCUUUCCAAUGACCAUAGGAGUUAGCAAGACAGCAGAAACGGCUCUGUGACCAGGCUAAUGGGUGUAACGUCAGAGACCUAUUUUCCUCAUUGAUGAUAUCCAGGCCACAGCUGGAAUAAGGAUAUGAAAGGGACUCGAUAGACAUAAUGAAUGAGACAUCCCCUGGUGAAUAGAGUGGAAAUGUAUUGAAUAGUGUAUACUCCUCAGACACACUGGAUGAGACGGAAGAUCCCCUGGUGUGUUCUGUUCCAGGUGCUGGAGGCUAUGGGUCGCGGAGCAGCACCGGAAGCAGGAGAGGCUGGCCCAGGCUGCCCAGUUCUAUAGAGACCAGCUUCUGAGGAAAGGGGUGGCCCACGCAGCUCACAUGGGCAGCUUCUGCACCAACAUAGCACUUCACAGCCAGGAGCAGGUGUGUGUGAGCAGAUGGUGUGUUUUAUUAUUCUAGUGUGUCUUGUCUGUGUGGAACUGUAUCAAGCCAGUCUUUUUUUGUACUUUAAAGAGUUCUUCGCGGUGUCUCCAGGGGUGGUGUUGCAGUGGAAACAGACAGCAGUGAGGUUUUAAAAAAUUUAAUAUUAUUUCACCUUUAUUUAACCAGGUAGGCCAGUUGAGAACAAGUUCUCAUUUACAACUGCAACCUGGCCAAGAUGAAGCAAAGCAGUGCGACAAAUAUUACACAUGGGAUAAACAAACGUUAAGUCAAUAACACAAUACAAAAAUCUGUAUACAGUGUGUGCAAAAUGAAGUAAGGAGGUUAGGCAAUAAAUAGGCCAAUAGUGGCGAAGUAAUUACAAUUGAGCAAUUAACACUGGAGUGACAUAUGUGCAGAUGAGGAUGUGCAAGUAGAAAUACUGGUGUGCAAAAGAAAACAAAAGCAAAUUUGGGGAUGAGGUAGAUAGUUGGUAGGAUGGGCUAUUUACAGAUGGGCUGUGUACAGCUGCAGCGAUCGGCAAGCUGACGCUUAAAGUUAGUGAGGGAGAUAUGUCUCCAGCUUCAGUGAUUUUUGAAAUUCGUUCCAGUCAUUGGCAACAGGGGACUGGAAGGAAAGGCGGCCAAAGUAGGUGAUGGCUUUGGGGAUGACCAGAGAAAUAUACCUGCUGGAGCGUGUGCUACGAGUGGGUGUUGCUAUGGUGACCAGUGAGCUGAGAUAAGGCGGAGCUUUACCUAACAAAAACUUAUAGAUGACCUGGAGCCAGUGGGUUUGGCGACGAAUAUGUAGUGAGUACCAGCCAACGAGAGCAAACCGGUCGCAGUGGUGGGUAGUAUAUGGGGUUUUGGGGACAAAACAGAUGGCACUGUGAUAGACUGCAUCCAAUUUGCUGAGUAGAGUGUUGGAGGCUAUUUUGUAAAUGACAUCGCCGAAGUCAAGGAUUGGCAGGAUAGUCCGUUUUACGAGGGUAUGUUUCGAAAUCCGAUAAUCGAUUUAAUUUUGGAUUGGAGAU
Molecule: long non-coding RNA, 3785 nt
Organism: Oncorhynchus kisutch (coho salmon)
Lineage: Eukaryota; Metazoa; Chordata; Actinopteri; Salmoniformes; Salmonidae
Source: Ensembl